UACGAAGGGGGCGAGCGUUGUUCGGAUUUACUGGGCGUAAAGGGCGCGUAGGCGGCCUUGUCAGUCAGGCGUGAAAUCCCCGGGCUCAACCUGGGAACUGCAUUUGUGACUGCACAGCUGGAGUGCGGCAGAGGGGGAUGGAAUUCCGCGUGUAGCAGUGAAAUGCGUAGAUAUGCGGAGGAACACCGAUGGCGAAGGCAAUCCCCUGGGCCUGCACUGACGCUCAUGCACGAAAGCGUGGGGAGCAAACAGG
RNAcentral lists this ribosomal RNA (253 nucleotides) under uncultured bacterium. RNAcentral's name for it is "partial 16S ribosomal RNA". It matches the Rfam family "Bacterial small subunit ribosomal RNA", at positions 524 to 776 of the family's 1533-position model. The record is from RNAcentral.